GAUGAACGCUGGCGGCGUGCCUAAUACAUGCAAGCCGAGCGAACAGACGAGGAGCUUGCUCCUCUGACGUUAGCGGCGGACGGGUGAGUAACACGUGGAUAACCUACCUAUAAGACUGGGAUAACUUCGGGAAACCGGAGCUAAUACCGGAUAAUAUAUUGAACCGCAUGGUUCAAUAGUGAAAGACGGUUUUGCUGUCACUUAUAGAUGGAUCCGCGCCGCAUUAGCUAGUUGGUAAGGUAACAGCUUACCAAGGCAACGAUGCGUAGCCGACCUGAGAGGGUGAUCGGCCACACUGGAACUGAGACACGGUCCAGACUCCUACGGGAGGCAGCAGUAGGGAAUCUUCCGCAAUGGGCGAAAGCCUGACGGAGCAACGCCGCGUGAGUGAUGAAGGUCUUCGGAUCGUAAAACUCUGUUAUUAGGGAAGAACAAAUGUGUAAGUAACUAUGCACGUCUUGACGGUACCUAAUCAGAAAGCCACGGCUAACUACGUG
RNAcentral lists this ribosomal RNA (497 nucleotides) under uncultured bacterium. RNAcentral describes it as "partial 16S ribosomal RNA". It matches the Rfam family "Bacterial small subunit ribosomal RNA", at positions 28 to 507 of the family's 1533-position model. The record is from RNAcentral.